UUCCCGGCUUUCAUAAAACUCUUAACCGUCGCUUUUAGAGCUGGAGGCAACUUAGCUCCAGCCAGUUUCUCUAAACUCUUAACAUCAUCCGUUACUUUCUGCUCUUCUUCCUCCAUUCUCUGAAUCUCCAUCAAAGGAGGUCCAGAGAGGGUUUCAAUCACGUACUGAGUGAACAAUGAUUCUUGAAUCCUAUCAAAGUAAGUGCUCAUGUGGAAAGAUGAAGCAAGAACCUUGACCAGAAGUGUCUUAAUCAACCAAAUGAUCACAGCAACAAGGAGACAAACCAACACUCUCGUCACGUACCUAAUGGCAGUAGUCCGGGUCUCUCUUUCCACUUUCUUAUCGAACAAGAAGUGCCACGCAAGCAACACGAGCCCUAACCACAAGGUGUUUUGAACAGACUUUCUAACUCCGUAGACGAAAUACAAAACCCUCUUUCUCAAAACGAAGUUCUUCUCGGCCGAGAAGACGAGGAUCCUCACUAUCCAGCUCGAGACUAGUCUCCCGCAAAUCAACACCAAAACCGUCACUUCCCAUUUCCACAGGUCCAGCUUCCACCAUGUCUUGCGCCGCAAGCUAUGUACCGUUAAGCUACAGACCAAACUGGUGACUAUCAGAACUAAACUUAUCCAUUCGAGCAAAACCCAAAUGCUGAGUUUGUCUCUUUUGAACACGUCCGGUAAGUCCUCGUCCAGAAACGGAUCUUCCUCCUCGUCUUCCUCCAGCGUCCCGGUUCGAGAUGGAGUUCCCGGUUUAGGGCUUUUUCCGAGAAAACCGGUUUUCCGACCGGAUCUCAUCUCUGUUUUGUCGAUAGCUGGAUGCGUCGGUGUUGGAGGAUCCAUAAGUCUUGACUUCGUCUGGUUCCUCCUCAGUAACGGUUUCUUCACGACCUCUGCUUCGUCUCUGUUGGCCUUGUAGUGACGGCUCUCCUCGUCGCUGCUCCCACCGAGUGAGAUUCUGUUCUGUCUCCUUCUCACCGCGUCGGCUUUUCCUUUCGCCGUGAACGGAGAAGACCUCCAUGUACUAGAACAGUAUCAAAAAUGUCUUGAACCCCAUUUCAAUCACUAUAUACUUAUUCUUGAAUCACAAAUUACUACUUCCAGAGAAUAGAAAACUGUUACCAAACCACUCAUACAUAUAUAUAUACAUACACAAAAAUCAUAUUCUGCUUGCUUACGCGCAAUGAAAAAUCCCUUACUUCCCUUGCUCAACAAGUCUUUACAGUUCAGGCACCGCGUUGAUGCAAACAAGCUGGAGGCAGACGGUCAGAAGUACCCGGAGUCACCGGAGGGAAACUUUUAAUAUUAAUGCCUUGAGGAUAUAAACGAUACUCAAUAUCAAGCUCUCUACAAGCUUUCCCAACUUCCUCUAGUAAUUGACUUCUCCUUAUAAACCUCUCUCCCAUGUCUUGAAAAUUCAUUCUGUGUGUCAACCACACCGCAAUCUUCACGCUUUUCAAGUCAUCCAUGUUUAGGAACACAAUCAUAGGUGCCGGAUACCAAUGAUCCUUCUUGAAGUCUAUAUAACUGCAUGAAAAAAAAACAAAUGAAAGUUUGGCCUUGAGACUUUAAAGUUUUACGAAUUAGUAUAUAGACAUAGCCUCCUAAAUUGUAAAGAAAAUAUUAUUUUUUUUUACUAAAAUGUCUAUAGCCUCAAGAUCUUAGCGUCUGAAUUUAACUAACCUGAUUAUUCUCUGUUUAAUAGCAGCUAUCUUUUCUGGAGGAGUUGCUAUGUGAACAGAGAAUUCAACCGCAUCUCCCAUAUCAGGACUUCGGAAGUAGUUAGCUAUAGGUUUUGUCCCAAGAACACUAUUCGGGUAUAUGAUCUUUUGAUUAUCGUACCGCAAGAAAACAGUCGUCAAUAUGUUCAUUUCUUCCACAACCAACUGGUAAAAGAAACAACAAGAUUAGAACCAUGUCACAAUAUUUUAAUAAGUCCAGCAGAUUAUUGUAUUAGGAGGGAACAAACCUGAACACCGUCAAUUUCGCAGCGGUCACCAACAUCAAAUGGGUGCAUAACGAAAAGGAAAAUGAUGGCUUCAAAGAUGGUUUUGCAUGAGUUUCCGAAUAUAAAGGCUACUAGAAGUAGCUGAGAGCUUAAGACUAGCAAGAACUUGGUUGUGGCGAUUCCUAGUAUAAGAAGCCAAAUGAUAAUGAUUAUAAUGCUAAUCAACACAUUGAUUAUGCGGUGAAGCCUGUUCACUGCUGUCUUUGUGUCGUUUAAGGUCAAUGCCAGAGCCCUCCGUUCUCUAAAUGCCUUAACCUGUGAAAAAAACGUCAAGAUAACUCUGUUUUGCAUAUGAAAAGAAUCUUGACAUAUAUAUCUAAUUUAGAACUUACCACCCAAUUCUUGAGGCAAGACUUGCUGAUCCUAAGGCUCUCUGAAGCUCCUUCAAAGAGAGCCAUGGCUCUUUCAGACUCCUCUUCAGACAGAAACCGCAAGAAGUCUUCCAUAUGUAUGUACCUAAAACCCGAUAAAAAGAAACUCAAGAUUUAAGCAUAAACCAUACUAAAAUUUUGGAGCUGUAGAUAAUUUAGUAAGAAUUUAAAUAAAUUUUGUUUUAUACAUUUUGAAAAAAUGUUUAUGGAUAUUAACUUUUAAAACAUUGAAGUGAUACGUCAAUGUUUCACUUGUCUAUGCACACUAAUGAUCAACUUCAAGAUAUAUAUACCUGGAACCAGGCUCAGUGACAUUGUGAAAAAUCUUCUUAGCUGCAAUCUUUGCUUCGCACUCGCUUCUUAUCUGCGUAGCAUGCUCACUCUCCUCAACUGUGUCCUGCAUAUGUUCAUCCAAGGUAGAAAGAGCGCCUUUUCGUAUUAUAUUCAUCAACUUGGUCAUGUUCCAAGCAGACACAUUGUCUGUAUUCAUCCUCUGCAACUGAUCAAUCCUUAUCCCUUCACCAUCUCCUUCUUUGUCAGAACCAACCCGAGACAGUCUCUGACCUUUCCCGGCUUUCAUAAAACUCUUAACCGUCGCUUUUAGAGCUGGAGGCAACUUAGCUCCAGCCAGUUUCUCUAAACUCUUAACAUCAUCCGUUACUUUCUGCUCUUCUUCCUCCAUUCUCUGAAUCUCCAUCAAAGGAGGUCCAGAGAGGGUUUCAAUCACGUACUGAGUGAACAAUGAUUCUUGAAUCCUAUCAAAGUAAGUGCUCAUGUGGAAAGAUGAAGCAAGAACCUUGACCAGAAGUGUCUUAAUCAACCAAAUGAUCACAGCAACAAGGAGACAAACCAA
This 3231-nucleotide long non-coding RNA is filed under the name Brassica napus (rape). RNAcentral's name for it is "long non-coding RNA (BNAP_LNC002594)". The record is from RNAcentral. Lineage: Eukaryota; Viridiplantae; Streptophyta; Magnoliopsida; Brassicales; Brassicaceae.